Molecule: ribosomal RNA, 764 nt
Filed under: Leuconostoc mesenteroides
Lineage: Bacteria; Bacillati; Bacillota; Bacilli; Lactobacillales; Lactobacillaceae
Description: bacterial SSU rRNA
Rfam family: Bacterial small subunit ribosomal RNA
Source: RNAcentral
CUAAUACAUGCAAGUCGAACGCACAGCGAAAGGUGCUUGCACCUUUCAAGUGAGUGGCGAACGGGUGAGUAACACGUGGACAACCUGCCUCAAGGCUGGGGAUAACAUUUGGAAACAGAUGCUAAUACCGAAUAAAACUUAGUGUCGCAUGACACAAAGUUAAAAGGCGCUUCGGCGUCACCUAGAGAUGGAUCCGCGGUGCAUUAGUUAGUUGGUGGGGUAAAGGCCUACCAAGACAAUGAUGCAUAGCCGAGUUGAGAGACUGAUCGGCCACAUUGGGACUGAGACACGGCCCAAACUCCUACGGGAGGCUGCAGUAGGGAAUCUUCCACAAUGGGCGAAAGCCUGAUGGAGCAACGCCGCGUGUGUGAUGAAGGCUUUCGGGUCGUAAAGCACUGUUGUAUGGGAAGAACAGCUAGAAUAGGAAAUGAUUUUAGUUUGACGGUACCAUACCAGAAAGGGACGGCUAAAUACGUGCCAGCAGCCGCGGUAAUACGUAUGUCCCGAGCGUUAUCCGGAUUUAUUGGGCGUAAAGCGAGCGCAGACGGUUUAUUAAGUCUGAUGUGAAAGCCCGGAGCUCAACUCCGGAAUGGCAUUGGAAACUGGUUAACUUGAGUGCAGUAGAGGUAAGUGGAACUCCAUGUGUAGCGGUGGAAUGCGUAGAUAUAUGGAAGAACACCAGUGGCGAAGGCGGCUUACUGGACUGCAACUGACGUUGAGGCUCGAAAGUGUGAGUAGCAAACAGGAUUAGAUACGGGGUAAUC